Molecule: ribosomal RNA, 289 nt
Filed under: uncultured bacterium
Lineage: Bacteria
Description: partial 16S ribosomal RNA
Rfam family: Bacterial small subunit ribosomal RNA
Source: RNAcentral
GUACCCUACGGGGCGCAGCAGUGGGGAAUAUUGCACAAUGGGGGAAACCCUGAUGCAGCGACGCCGCGUGAGUGAAGAAGUAAUUCGUUAUGUAAAGCUCUAUCAGCAGGGAAGAAAAUGACGGUACCUGACUAAGAAGCCCCGGCUAACUACGUGCCAGCAGCCGCGGGAAUACGUAGGGGGCAAGCGUUAUCCGGAUUUACUGGGUGUAAAGGGAGCGUAGACGGGGCAGAAAGUCUGAUGUGAAAGAUCGGGGCCCAACCCCGGGACUGCAUUGGGAACUGUUGCA